AUGCAAGUCGAACGGCAGCACGGGAGCAAUCCUGGUGGCGAGUGGCGAACGGGUGAGUAAUAUAUCGGAACGUGCCCGGUCGUGGGGGAUAACGUAGCGAAAGCUACGCUAAUACCGCAUACGAUCUACGGAUGAAAGCGGGGGAUCGCAAGACCUCGCGCGAUUGGAGCGGCCGAUAUCAGAUUAGGUAGUUGGUGAGGUAAAGGCUCACCAAGCCGACGAUCUGUAGCUGGUCUGAGAGGACGACCAGCCACACUGGGACUGAGACACGGCCCAGACUCCUACGGGAGGCAGCAGUGGGGAAUUUUGGACAAUGGGCGCAAGCCUGAUCCAGCAAUGCCGCGUGCAGGAUGAAGGCCUUCGGGUUGUAAACUGCUUUUGUACGGAACGAAACGGUGAGCUCUAAUACAGUUUGCUAAUGACGGUACCGUAAGAAUAAGCACCGGCUAACUACGUG
Molecule: ribosomal RNA, 457 nt
Filed under: uncultured bacterium
Lineage: Bacteria
Description: bacterial SSU rRNA
Rfam family: Bacterial small subunit ribosomal RNA
Source: RNAcentral